GAUGAACGCUGGCGGCGUGCCUAAUACAUGCAAGUCGAGCGAACAGACGAGGAGCUUGCUCCUCUGACGUUAGCGGCGGACGGGUGAGUAACACGUGGAUAACCUACCUAUAAGACUGGGAUAACUUCGGGAAACCGGAGCUAAUACCGGAUAAUAUAUUGAACCGCAUGGUUCAAUAGUGAAAGACGGUUUUGCUGUCACUUAUAGAUGGAUCCGCGCCGCAUUAGCUAGUUGGUAAGGUAACGGCUUACCAAGGCAACGAUGCGUAGCCGACCUGAGAGGGUGAUCGGCCACACUGGAACUGAGACACGGUCCAGACUCCUACGGGAGGCAGCAGUAGGGAAUCUUCCGCAAUGGGCGAAAGCCUGACGGAGCAACGCCGCGUGAGUGAUGAAGGUCUUCGGAUCGUAAAACUCUGAUAUUAGGGAAGAACAAAUGUGUAAGUAACUAUGCACGUCUUGACGGUACCUAAUAAGAAAGCCACGGCUAACUACGUG
Molecule: ribosomal RNA, 497 nt
Filed under: uncultured bacterium
Lineage: Bacteria
Description: partial 16S ribosomal RNA
Rfam family: Bacterial small subunit ribosomal RNA
Source: RNAcentral